This 2640-nucleotide ribosomal RNA is filed under the name Melanothamnus gigas. RNAcentral's name for it is "large subunit ribosomal RNA". It matches the Rfam family "Bacterial large subunit ribosomal RNA". Lineage: Eukaryota; Rhodophyta; Florideophyceae; Ceramiales; Rhodomelaceae. The record is from RNAcentral.
AAAAACUUUUUGAUUAAGGAAUUAAUAAUUUAAAAAUUUUUUAAACAAGGCAUUUAAAAGAAUGCUUGGUAAAUUACAGAAAGAAGGACGAGGCGCUUCGAAAAUUAUAAUAAGGUUCAGACUUGUGAAUUAUAAGUUUCCUAAUUAAAAAAUGAAAUUUUUUAAUUAUUGUGAAGUGAAUCAUCUCAAUAACAAUAAAUGAAAAAAAUCAACCGAAAUUUUGUAAGUAACGGUGAGUGAAAGCAAAGAUACUAAGUAAUUAAUAAAAUAAUUUAACAAAUAAAUUUAAUACAAUAAAAGGUCAAUAGUCCUGUAGAUUUGUUAAAAAUAUAAAUUAAAUUGAAGUAAAGUGAAUUAAUCAUUCUCAUGAAAAUUAAGGAGAACCACCUUCUAAACUUAGAAAAAAUGUAAUUUAAUCGAUAGUACACGAGUAUUGUGAAAAAAAUUUGAAAAAAAUUUGAAAAAAAUUUGAAAAAAAUUUGAAUGUCUAAUUAAUUACUUGAAGUAAAAAUAUACGACAAGAUGCUUUUUGCAGAACGAGUCAGUAAGUUAAACAUUAUAGCAAAAAAAUUAAAUUUAUUUCGUUUUUGAAAAAAAGUUAUAAUUAUUAGACCUGAAACCAAGUGAUCUAAUUAUGAAUAAGUUGCUGUUAAUGUAACAAUUAAUUAAAGACUGAACUUUUAUAUGUGGCAAAAUAUUAAGAAAAUUUGUAAUUAGGAGUGAAAGGCUAAUCAAACUUGGUUAUAGCCGGUUUUUCACGAAAUGUAUUUUAGUACAGCAACAUUAUUAUAUAAAUUAAGGUAAAGUAAAAAAAUUUAAUAAAAUUUUUUAACUUUAAAUUUAAUUUCAAAAAAAAAUGUUAGUCAGUCUAAAAGCGAGAAGGUUUUUAGACAAAAGGAAAACAAUCCAGAUCGUUUGUUAAGGUAUUAAAUUACUAUAUUAAUUUAUAAGGUUUUUUAAAAUUUCAAUAUUUAAAUAGGCUUAGAAGCAGUUUUUUAUUUGAGAAAGCGUUUUAGCUCAUUGUUUUUUUUUAUUAAACUAAAAAUUUUGGAUAUUAAAUUGUAAACCGAAACAGCGAAUAUAUUUUUUGCUAAUAAAGAUAAGAAAAAUAUAUGGUAGUGAAACGUUUUGUUAGUAAAAAAAAGAGUAAUCAAAUUUAAACAAAAAUGAUAAUGCUGACAUGAGUAACGAAAAAUUAUGUAAAAAUCAUAAUCAUUUAAUAAAUAGGUUUUCAAUGUACGUUAAACUUCAUUGAGUGAGUCGGUUCUUAAAAAAAAUACUAAAAAGUUUAUUUGAUGGAAAAAGAAUAUUUAUUCUUACUAAUUGUGUAUAUUUAAUUACUAAAAUAGUUAUUUUUAAACAAUUUUUUUAAAUAAAUUAAAGAAAAUUAAAUUAAAAAAAUAACUUUCAAGAAAAAAACAAUUAAAUAAACCGUACUAAAUCCGACACAGGUUUUUACAAAAAAAAUGAUUGAGAAAAUUAUAUUAAAGGAACUUGGCAAAUUAAUUCCGUAUGUUCGCUAAAAGGAAUAUCUAUAAUAUAAUGGAUAUAUAUUAUUAUUUGACUUAUAGAUAGCAUAAACUAAAAAGCAACGACUGGUUAUCAAAACCACAGGACUCUGCAAAUUUAUAAAAAGAAGUAUAGAGUCUGAAGUCUGCCCAGUGCUUAAACAUGAAAUAUAACGUAAUUAAUACGAAAUUAUAAAUUUAAGUAAACGGCGGUUCUAACUAUAAGAAUCCUCAGGUAGCGAAAUUCCUUGGCGGGUAAAUUCCGUCCUGCAUGAAUGACUUAACGAUUGCUUUACUGUCUCUAAUAUAAACUCAGUGAAAUUACAAUAUUCAUGAAAAUGUGAAUUAUUUACAAUAAGACGGAAAGACCCUAGAUCCUUUACUUUUAUUUUACAUUGUAAAAAAAUUUUAUUUAUUUUAGAAUAAAUGGAAGUUAUUAACACUCGUGAAAUACCAUUUUUUUAUUAUUUUUUUACUAUAUUUAAUUAAAAUUAGAGAAAGUGUAAAAAAGAAAGUUUACUUGGGAUGAGUGCCUCCUAAAAAGUAACGGAGGCGAACAAUGGUGAAAAAAAUUAAUAGAAAUUUUGCUUGAUAAUAAAAUUAAUAAAUUAAAUUAGGACGAAAGUCAGUUAUAAUGACCCGAAUUUAUGUGUGGAAUUAAAUUCGUUCAACAGAUAAAAGGAACUCUAGGGAUAACAGAUUCAUCAUGAUUAAAAGUUCAUAUUGAAAUCAUGGUUUGAUACCUCGAUGUCGACUCAUCUUAUCCUGAAAUUGUAAAUGAUUUCAAGGGUCUAGUUGUUCGCUAGUUAAAAAGGUACGUGAGUUGGGUUCAGAACGUCGUGAGACAGUUCGGUCCCUAUCUAUUGUAAAAUAAAAAUUCAAAGAAAUAGUUUUAGUACGAGAGGACCAAACUAUAUUAACCUCUAGUAAAUUGAUUAAAAUAAAUUUUUUUUAUUGUCAAGUAGCUACGUUAAUUUAAUUUAAAUACUGAAUGCAUCAACAGUAUAAAAAUAACUUUUAAAAUUUUUUAGAAUAGUCUUUUCGAAAAAAAGAUAGAUCGGUUUAACUUUAAUUUUUAGUAAUAAAAAUAUUAUAAAUACGAAUUUUUCAAAAAAAAAAUUUAAUUAACUUA